Molecule: unclassified non-coding RNA, 240 nt
Filed under: soil metagenome
Description: partial contains 5.8S ribosomal RNA, internal transcribed spacer 2, and large subunit ribosomal RNA
Source: RNAcentral
AACCAUAGAAACCUGCGGAGUACCUGCGGAAGGAUCAUUACCGAGUGCGGGUCCCCUCGCGGGGCCCAACCUCCCACCCGUGUCUACCGUCACCUGUUGCUUCGGCGGGCCCGCCUUCGUGCCGCCGGGGGGCCCUCUGCGCCCCCGGGCCCGCGCCCGCCGAAGACUCUAGGAACACUGAAUGAAGGAUGCCGUCUGAGCCAAACGACACAAUCGUUAAAACUUUCAACAACGGAUCUC